RNAcentral lists this ribosomal RNA (383 nucleotides) under uncultured eukaryote. RNAcentral describes it as "partial 18S ribosomal RNA". It matches the Rfam family "Eukaryotic small subunit ribosomal RNA", at positions 592 to 976 of the family's 1831-position model. The record is from RNAcentral.
CAAUAGCGUAUAUUAAAGUUGUUGCAGUUAAAAAGCUCGUAGUUGGAUUUCUGGUGGGAGCGAUCGGUCUGGCGCUUAGCGCGAGUACUUGCAUCGUCUCCGGCCAUCCUUGGGGAGAGUCUGUCUGGCAUUAGGUUGUCGGGCAGAGGAUCCUCAUCGUUUACUGUGAAAAAAUUAGAGUGUUCAAAGCAGGCUUAUGCCGUUGAAUAUAUUAGCAUGGAAUAAUAAGAUAGGACUUUGGUACUAUUUUGUUGGUUUGCGCACCAAAGUAAUGAUUAAUAGGGACAGUUGGGGGUAUUCGUAUUCCGUUGUCAGAGGUGAAAUUCUUGGAUUUACGAAAGACGAACUACUGCGAAAGCAUUUGCCAAGAAUGUUUUCAUUAA